This 579-nucleotide ribosomal RNA is filed under the name uncultured Planctomycetia bacterium. RNAcentral describes it as "bacterial SSU rRNA". It matches the Rfam family "Bacterial small subunit ribosomal RNA", at positions 790 to 1368 of the family's 1533-position model. The record is from RNAcentral. Lineage: Bacteria; Pseudomonadati; Planctomycetota; Planctomycetia.
GUAGUCCACGCCGUAAACGAUGCGCACUAGGUAUGAGAGACUCUGACGUCGAUCGUGCCGAAACAAAAGCGUUAAGUGCGCCGCCUGGGGAGUACGGCCGCAAGGCUAAAACUCAAAGGAAUUGACGGGGGCUCACACAAGCGGUGGAGUAUGUGGAUUAAUUCGAAGCAACGCGCAGAACCUCACCUAGGUUUGACAUGCUAGGAUGCCCUUUGGGAAACCAGAGUAAGCUGCCUUCGGGUGAAACUAGCACAGGUGCUGCAUGGCUGUCGUCAGCUCGUGCUGUGAAGUGUCGGGUUAAGUCCCGCAACGAGCGCAACCCUUGUCAUUAGUUGCUACGAAAGGGCACUCUAAUGAGACUGCCGGUGACAAACCGGAGGAAGGUGGGGAUGACGUCAGGUCCUCAUGGCCCUUAUGGGUAGGGCUACACACGUCAUACAAUGGCCGGUACAGAGGGCUGCCAACCCGCGAGGGGGAGCUAAUCCCAGAAAACCGGUCGUAGUCCGGAUCGCAGUCUGCAACUCGACUCUGUGAAGUCGGAAUCGCUAGUAAUCGCGGAUCAGCGUGCCGCGGUGAAUA